This 511-nucleotide ribosomal RNA is filed under the name uncultured bacterium. Its description in RNAcentral is "partial 16S ribosomal RNA". It matches the Rfam family "Bacterial small subunit ribosomal RNA", at positions 355 to 857 of the family's 1533-position model. The record is from RNAcentral.
UGGGGAAUAUUGCACAAUGGGCGCAAGCCUGAUGCAGCCAUGCCGCGUGUGUGAAGAAGGCCUUCGGGUUGUAAAGCACUUUCAGCGAGGAGGAAGGUGGUGAACUUAAUACGUUCAUCAAUUGACGUUACUCGCAGAAGAAGCACCGGCUAACUCCGUGCCAGCAGCCGCGGUAAUACGGAGGGUGCAAGCGUUAAUCGGAAUUACUGGGCGUAAAGCGCACGCAGGCGGUUUGUUAAGUCAGAUGUGAAAUCCCCGGGCUCAACCUGGGAACUGCAUUUGAAACUGGCAAGCUAGAGUCUCGUAGAGGGGGGUAGAAUUCCAGGUGUAGCGGUGAAAUGCGUAGAGAUCUGGAGGAAUACCGGUGGCGAAGGCGGCCCCCUGGACGAAGACUGACGCUCAGGUGCGAAAGCGUGGGGCAGCAAACAGGAUUAGAUACCCUGGUAGUCCACGCUGUAAACGAUGUCGAUUUGGAGGUUGUGCCCUUGAGGCGUGGCUUCCGGAGCUAACG